ACGAGCAGGUGUUUGCGGACAAUGAAGCACAGUGGUUGUUUUCUACAGAAUGGCUUCAGAAAGGGAUGAGAUCUCGUUCCACAACUGGACAACAACUUGUUACACAAGAGAAUGUUGCUGCCUUUGACUCAGACUGUAGAGUCCUAACCUUUCAGGGUAGGCAGAGUUUUGAGUCUAAUGCUCACUUGGAUAAGAUAGAAACUCCAACAAAGAAGAGAACUACAGGCCACGCUCGGUUCCGGUGUUUGUCUUCCACAAAUAAAGCUUCUGAGCAGUCACAAGUAGGAUGGUAUAGCAGACAGACGCAAGUGGCCUCAAGCAGAAAGAAACGAACCACUAAGUCUCAGACCAAACAGCUCACACUUCUCCCUAAUCACUGCCACUUUCCACCUUCAUUUGCUGGUAAUGAUAUUUUACUCACUCUUUCUUAAAUCUUGAACUUAAUAAAUGCAGACUAUUUUGUUGCUAAUGUUCUUUGCAGCAGGACUAGCUCCAGAAGCUAUUUGGCAGCAACGCCACUCUAUUGAAGCAAUCAGCGAGCUAAUGCGUCUACUAGACAUCAACAGAGAGUACUCAGAAACUGCUCUUGUUCCUUACGGAAUGAACAGCAGUUACAGCGUAGGAAACCAGAUUGUGAUCUUCAACGGUGGCGCUGGAGCUAUAGUGCCUUCGACUCGCGUUAAGAAGCCGCGGCGCGAACGUGCAAAGGUUCAUAUAGAUAAUGAGACGGAUAGAGUGUGGAAGCUUUUGAUGGAGAGUAUUGAUAGCGAAGGUGUUGAUGGAUCAGAUGAGAAGAAGGCCAAAUGGUGGGAGGAAGAACGUAAUGUGUUUAGAGGAAGAGCUGACUCAUUCAUAGCACGAAUGCAUCUUGUUCAAGGUAACUACACACCACAUGUUUUUCUUACAAGUGUUUGAUCUCUUAGUUAUAACUUGUUGUUAUGGUCUUUGGUUGCUAACAGGUGAUAGACGUUUUACACCAUGGAAAGGAUCAGUUGUUGAUUCUGUGGUUGGAGUGUUUCUCACUCAAAACGUUUCUGAUCAUCUCUCAAGGUAUAAGCUCUUACAUGGUUCUAUGUCUUUACUUAGUCUAAGACAACUAACUUCUUUUCUUUGUCUCUAGCUCUGCGUUUAUGUCACUGGCUGCGGAGUAUCCUGUACCUUUUGUACCCAGCAGUGAUUUUGAAGUAGGAGAAAGCUCCAUGCCUUCUAUCAGGAUAACCUACUUGGACUCGGAUGAACCGAUCUCAAACCCACCAGUUCCCAGUGAGGUUUCUGCUGCUUUAAACAUCACACAGCCUGAUGAGGAGAAGGAGUAUGUGAACAGCAAUGACACCUCAAGGAGCAGCAGUGAGAUCGCCAGCUCAGGGAAUGAGUCAACUGUCAAAACUACAGAUUCAAAGGCGCAGGUGGAUUCAGACAGAACUGGCUCAAGCGUGGAAGUUAGCAAGACAGUUCUUAUUGUCCAAGAGCUGUUUCCAUCUGAAGAUUCUGUACUCACAUGUCAGAACUCGUUGGUUUCUGAAACUCCUAAGAAGACAGAGAGAGCAGGAUCAAGCUCUGAGAUCAACUCAGAAGCGGAGAAUUGUACACACUUUGUGAAGCUCCUAGAGUCCCAGCAACAAUACGAGCAGGUGUUUGCGGACAAUGAAGCACAGUGGUUGUUUUCUACAGAAUGGCUUCAGAAAGGGAUGAGAUCUCGUUCCACAACUGGACAACAACUUGUUACACAAGAGAAUGUUGCUGCCUUUGACUCAGACUGUAGAGUCCUAACCUUUCAGGGUAGGCAGAGUUUUGAGUCUAAUGCUCACUUGGAUAAGAUAGAAACUCCAACAAAGAAGAGAACUACAGGCCACGCUCGGUUCCGGUGUUUGUCUUCCACAAAUAAAGCUUCUGAGCAGUCACAAGUAGGAUGGUAUAGCAG
RNAcentral lists this long non-coding RNA (1921 nucleotides) under Brassica napus (rape). Its description in RNAcentral is "long non-coding RNA (BNAP_LNC004010)". The record is from RNAcentral. Lineage: Eukaryota; Viridiplantae; Streptophyta; Magnoliopsida; Brassicales; Brassicaceae.